This 492-nucleotide ribosomal RNA is filed under the name uncultured bacterium. RNAcentral's name for it is "partial 16S ribosomal RNA". It matches the Rfam family "Bacterial small subunit ribosomal RNA", at positions 29 to 507 of the family's 1533-position model. The record is from RNAcentral.
AGUGAACGCUGGCGGUAGGCCUAACACAUGCAAGUCGAACGGCAGCACAGUAAGAACUUGCUCUUACGGGUGGCGAGUGGCGGACGGGUGAGGAAUACAUCGGAAUCUACUUUUUCGUGGGGGAUAACGUAGGUAAACUUACGCUAAUACCGCAUACGACCUACGGGUGAAAGCAGGUGAUCUUCGGACCUUGCGCGAAUGAAUGAGCCGAUGUCGGAUUAGCUAGUUGGCGGGGUAAAGGCCCACCAAGGCGACGAUCCGUAACUGGUCUGAGAGGAUGAUCAGCCACACUGGAACUGAGACACGGUCCAGACUCCUACGGGAGGCAGCAGUGGAGAAUAUUGGACAAUGGGCGCAAGCCUGAUCCAGCCAUACCGCGUGGGUGAAGAAGGCCUUCGGGUUGUAAAGCCCUUUUGUUGGGAAAGAAAAGCAGCAGGUUAAUACCCCGCUGUUCUGACGGUACCCAAAGAAUAAGCACCGGCUAACUUCGUG